ACACCAGAAGAACUAAGAAUGGUCAGUAUUGCCAAACAUGCACCAUCAUAAUUCCAUCUCCCAGCAUAGCUGAAAAAUAAGAAUAUUAAAAAUAUGAUAUUAUGCUGAUGAUGUUUAAGUUAUUGACUUUUGUCUUUAUUUUUUGGUUUAAGCAAUUGAUCUUGGUUUGCAUGGAAUGCAACCUAAGUGGUCCUUUAUGGGUUCAAUAAUUAAUAUGGAUUUUUGAACUCACUUGGAGCUAUAGUUGAAGAAAUGAUCUUUAUGCCUCUUUUCAUUGUUCUUGUACAUGCAUCUGAUUAAAAAAGAUUUUCUAGGUGUUGAAGGAGUAGCUUUCAUUUAGUUUUGGUAUUUGGAAUCUCUUAGGUAGCAGCUAUUCAAUAAUAGCAGCCAUUCAAUAAUUCCUGUCUUUGUCUUCUGUUUGCUGCUCACAUUUAUUGCCUUACACUUUAUAUUUGUGAAAGGCCCCUUCAUGGCUGAAUAACAUUGCAAUCAUGCAAGUGAUCUUGUACUCAAAUCCUAGAUCACACGGGAGCUUGUACUUGUGCAGCUCCUCUUUACUCAAUAUGCUUUCAUGUUUAAUGUGUUUUGUAACUGAAAAAAGUUUGGCCUAAAUCCUUCCAACUGAUUUUGCUUUAUUGCCUUGUAGCACACGGGCUUGAAAGGU
RNAcentral lists this unclassified non-coding RNA (664 nucleotides) under Hevea brasiliensis (rubber tree). The record is from RNAcentral. Lineage: Eukaryota; Viridiplantae; Streptophyta; Magnoliopsida; Malpighiales; Euphorbiaceae.